UACGUAGGGUCCAAGCGUUAUCCGGAAUUACUGGGCGUAAAGAGUUGCGUAGGUGGCAUAGUAAGUAGAUAGUGAAAUUACACGGCUCAACCGUGUGCCCAUUAUCUAAACUGCUAAGCUCGAGUGCGGGAGAGGAAUCUGGAAUUCCCAGUGUAGGAGUGAAAUCCGUAGAUAUUGGGAGGAACACCGAUGGCGUAGGCAGGAUUCUGGCCCGUUACUGACACUAAGGCACGAAAGCGUGGGGAGCGAACGGG
Molecule: ribosomal RNA, 254 nt
Filed under: uncultured bacterium
Lineage: Bacteria
Description: partial 16S ribosomal RNA
Rfam family: Bacterial small subunit ribosomal RNA
Source: RNAcentral